CAUUGCGAGUUGGAAUCAGAAGGAAGUCGGCAGCAAACAUCUGACCUGACGAACAGAAACUUUAUAUAAGGCAUUUGACUGGGGGUAAGGUUGCAAAGCGAACCAAAGCCCUAUAGCUAUUCGGAACGGUUGGUGUAAAUGAAGCAGGUAUAAGAUGGAAAGAUAAU
Molecule: non-coding RNA, 167 nt
Filed under: Bacteroides xylanisolvens
Lineage: Bacteria; Pseudomonadati; Bacteroidota; Bacteroidia; Bacteroidales; Bacteroidaceae
Source: RNAcentral